GGGAUGGAGAGGGAAGGAGAUGAACUGCAGAGGUUUAAAAGGUGAAAUUUAUUGGCCCUGAAUCAUCAUAAGAUGUGAAGAUUGAGACAUGCAGCUAUGGGGGAGCAGCUAACCAGCCCUCACCAUUCCAAAAGCUUUGAUUGCUCUUCUUAUCACCUAAACCUUAAGAGUUGUUGACUCAGGUGCUGAAAACAUCAGGCUGAAAGCAUCAGUCGAUUUAAAAUACGCCUGUGCCGACAAGAGAAUGGGAAAUGGGAUACAGGUUUUACCUUGAAGGCUGACUGAAGGGGGAUGACCCAUGGUGAAUGUCACAGGUCAACUGGGCAGACUGUGUCCAAGCGAGUCAGCAUGUGCUAAGGAUUUCUUGCUAUUUGUUCUUGUCUUUAUUUUUCCAAUGUGGUUGAAUCUCUGUACAUUUAGCCUUAUAAACAUCUCCCCCACUACUAAUAACCAGAGAAAAAAAUGUUUGUAAUAAAAAUGUACAAUCUAGAGAUCAAACCAUUUUACAAAAGUUUCAAAAAUAUUUAUAUUUUCUUAGCAAA
Molecule: long non-coding RNA, 542 nt
Organism: Herpailurus yagouaroundi (jaguarundi)
Lineage: Eukaryota; Metazoa; Chordata; Mammalia; Carnivora; Felidae
Exons: 3
Source: RefSeq, a predicted model, not a curated record